UACGUGGGGUGCGAGCGUUGUUCGGGAUUACUGGGCGUAAAGCGCGUGUAGGCGGCCUAUUAUGUCAGGUGUGAAAGCCCUCGGCCUAACCGAGGAAGUGCGCCUGAAACUGCUAGGCUUGAGUACGAGAGAGGGGGACGGAAUUCCCAGUGUAGAGGUGAAAUUCGUAGAUAUUGGGAGGAACACCGGCGGCGAAAUCGUUUCUCUGGAUCGAUACUGACGCUAAGACGCGAAAGCGUGUGGAGCAAACAGG
RNAcentral lists this ribosomal RNA (253 nucleotides) under uncultured bacterium. RNAcentral describes it as "partial 16S ribosomal RNA". It matches the Rfam family "Bacterial small subunit ribosomal RNA", at positions 524 to 776 of the family's 1533-position model. The record is from RNAcentral.